UACGUAGGGUGCGAGCGUUAAUCGGAAUUACUGGGCGUAAAGCGUGCGCAGGCGGUUAUGUAAGACAGAUGUGAAAUGCCCGGGCUUAACCUGGGAACUGCAUUUGUGACUGCAUGGGCUAGAGUGUGUCAGAGGGGGGGUAGAAAUUCCACGUGUAGCAGUGAAAUGCGUAGAUAUGUGGAGGAAUACCGAUGGCGAAGGCAGCCCCCUGGGAUAACACUGACGCUCAUGCACGAAAAGCGUGGGGGAGCAAAACCAGG
Molecule: ribosomal RNA, 260 nt
Filed under: uncultured bacterium
Lineage: Bacteria
Description: partial 16S ribosomal RNA
Rfam family: Bacterial small subunit ribosomal RNA
Source: RNAcentral